UGGGGGAUAUUGCACAAUGGGCGAAAGCCUGAUGCAGCGACGCCGCGUGGGGGAUGAAGGCCUUCGGGUUGUAAACUUCUUUUGCUCUUAACAAGGCGCACCAUGGGGUGUGUUGAGUGUAGGGGUUGAUUAGCGCCGGCUAACUACGUGCCAGCAGCCGCGGUAAUACGUAGGGCGCGAGCGUUGUCCGGAAUUAUUGGGCGUAAAGGGCUUGUAGGUGGCUGGUUGCGUCUGUCGUGAAAGCUCAUGGCUUAACUGUGGGUUUGCGGUGGGUACGGGCUGGCUUGAGUGCAGUAGGGGAGGCUGGAAUUCCUGGUGUAGCGGUGGAAUGCGCAGAUAUCAGGAGGAAUACCGGUGGCGAAGGCGGGUCUCUGGGCUGUUACUGACACUGAGGAGCGAAAGCAUGGGGAGCGAACAGG
This 419-nucleotide ribosomal RNA is filed under the name bacterium. RNAcentral's name for it is "partial 16S ribosomal RNA". It matches the Rfam family "Bacterial small subunit ribosomal RNA", at positions 355 to 776 of the family's 1533-position model. The record is from RNAcentral.